UUUUUUUUUUUUUUUUCUAUUUUUGCUUUGCUUUGAGAAGAAAUAUAAUAUGUUGAUUAAGAGAAGGAACUCUGAAGCCAGAUUUCAUGGGUUUGGAUUUUGGCUUUUCCUCUAUCUAGCAGUUUGACUUUGGGUAAGUUACUUAGCUUACCUGUCUCAUGGGGUUAUUGCAGUGAUUAAGAGUUAAUAAAAAGCACUCAGGACAGUAUCAGCCAUAGAAAGUACUACAAAAGUGUUUGAUUUUACUAUUUAAAAUAUUUAUCAAUACCUGAUACAGUAUGCAUUUAUUUGUUUAUUAUCUAUUGUCCACCCAAAUGUAAGCUCCCUAAAGGCAGAGAUUUCAUUUUAUUCAUAGCUGAAUCCCUACUCUCUAGAAAGGCACUAUCUCAUAGAACUUUCGGUGAUGAUGGGAUGUUCUAUAGCUGUACUACAAUACAGUAGCACUAACCACAUGUAGAUAUUGAGCAUUUCAAAUGUGGCUAGUGCUACUGAGGGACUGAUUGUUACAUUUUAUUUAAUUUUUAAUUAAUUAAAAUUUAAGUAGUUAUAUGUGACUAGUGACCAUGAGAUUGGACAGCACAGACAUUGCCUGGAACAUUAUAAUAGGUACUCAACGAAUUUUUGUUAAACAAGUGAAUAACUACCAACCAUUUAGAGAAAGCUAGAUAUUUUGGCAGGUAGAAUGCUAAGCACUUUAUAUACAUUAUGUCAUGCAAACCUCUCAACAAACCUAUGAGGGAAAUAUUACUGUUCCCAAUACAUAGAUGAGAACAUUGAGGCACAGAGGAGUUAAUUUGUCAGAGCCAGUAAAUAGAUUAGAUUCCAGAACUGAGCCAAUGACAUGAAUUGAAUUAAUGACAUGAAUUGAAUUCGACUCAGGUUGGUUACAAUUCUCCAAUUUCGGAGUAUCAGACUCCCAGUUUUUCUCUCAGGAAAUGAAACUACCUUCCCUGUGCUAUAUCCAGCUCUCAUACUACCCAGCCUCACAUAUAGACUUUCCGACAUUCCUAAUGACAAAUUCCUUGAGUGCAGGAUCCACACCUCAUUCUUACUUCAUUGUCAUCUAUAGUGUUGGCACUAUGUCAGAACCAUUCUUCAGUAAAUGCUGGCUGAAAGAGUAGAAGACGAAUGGAUGCUCAGGUGGAUGUUUGUAAGGUUCUAAAGGAAGUUAAUAUCUAGUAUCAAUUUUACUCACACAAGAAGAAAUCAUAUGAGCAUUUACUGGCUUUAAUGCUUUAUCUUGUGACCACUGAACAGACCUUUUAGAACAAGUGUUGGCAAAUGAGGCAGUAAAUAUUUUAGGCUUUGUGGGUCAUAAGGUCUCUGUCACAACUGUCCAGCUCUGCUGUUCUUGCAUGGUAGCAGCCAUAGACAAUAUGUAAAUGAUGACCAUGUUGCAAUAAAACUUUGUUUAUGAUCACCAAAUUUUGAAUUCAUAUAAUUUUCAUAUCUCUGAAAUAUUCUUCCAUUUUUAACCCUGAAAUGUCACAAAAAAACAUUCUUAGCUUGUGGGCUGUACAAGAACAGGCAGCAAGCUGCAGUUGCUAACCUGUGGCCUAGACAGGCAAACCUAAGAUUAGAAGCACUGGGUAAGGCCGUACAGCUGUGUGGUGAAAACCCAUUCAGAAGGGAAAGUCCAGGGUGGAAUGCAGGAAGCUGUUCGUUUUCUUUUGUCCUCCACAUUUUUCCUCCCCCGGAUCAUUCUAUAUCUUUUUCCUGUUUGCUUUGCCGGGAUUGUUCUCAAUGUGCAUACCUUCCCAUACCUCAGGCGUUUUGUCUCUCGUGGCCAUUUGUGUUUAAGUUGAGGGUUUUGAGAAGACUAAAAAAAUUCAAGACCCAAAGUAAUAGCUUUCUCACGCAUUGAGAGAUGUCGUUCCAUUGGUGUGAAUAAGUCUCUGUGUACCC
Molecule: long non-coding RNA, 1905 nt
Organism: Macaca fascicularis (crab-eating macaque)
Lineage: Eukaryota; Metazoa; Chordata; Mammalia; Primates; Cercopithecidae
Source: Ensembl